This 585-nucleotide ribosomal RNA is filed under the name uncultured bacterium. Its description in RNAcentral is "bacterial SSU rRNA". It matches the Rfam family "Bacterial small subunit ribosomal RNA", at positions 224 to 806 of the family's 1533-position model. The record is from RNAcentral.
GAUGGGCAUGCGUGACAUUAGCUAGUUGGUGAGGUAACGGCUCACCAAGGCAACGAUGUCUAGGGGUCCUGAGAGGGUUAUCCCCCACACUGGUACUGAGACACGGACCAGACUCCUACGGGAGGCAGCAGUAAGGAAUAUUGGUCAAUGGGCGCAAGCCUGAACCAGCCAUGCCGCGUGCAGGAAGACGGCCCUAUGGGUUGUAAACUGCUUUUGUCAGGGAAUAAACCUAUCUACGUGUAGAUAGCUGAAGGUACCUGAAGAAUAAGCAUCGGCUAACUCCGUGCCAGCAGCCGCGGUAAUACGGAGGAUGCAAGCGUUAUCCGGAUUCAUUGGGUUUAAAGGGUGCGCAGGCUGAUUAUUAAGUCAGGGGUGAAAUCUCUCGGCUCAACCGAGAAACUGCCUUUGAUACUGAUAGUCUAGAGUAUAGUUGAAGUUGGCGGAAUGUGUCAUGUAGCGGUGAAAUGCUUAGAUAUGACACAGAACACCGAUCGCGAAGGCAGCUAGCUAAGCUAUAACUGACGCUCAUGCACGAAAGCGUGGGGAUCAAACAGGAUUAGAUACCCUGGUAGUCCACGCUGUAAA